GACGAACGCUGGCGGCGUGCCUAACACAUGCAAGUCGAACGGAAAGGCACUGCUUUUGUGGUCUGCUCGAGUGGCGAACGGGUGAGUAACACGUAAGUAACCUGCCCUUGACUUUGGGAUAACUUCAGGAAACUGGAGCUAAUACCGGAUAGCAGCUCCUGCUGCAUGGUGAGGGUUGGAAAGUUUCGGCUGUUGGGGUUGGACUGGCGGCUGAUCAGUUUGUUGGUGGGGUAGUGGCCUACCAAGGCGAGGACGGGUAGCCGGCCUGAGAGGGGGACCGGCCACCUGGGAGCGGGACCACGGUCAAGACUCCUACGGGAGGCAGCAGUGGGGAACAUUGGACAAUGGGGGCAAUCCUGACCCAGCCAGCCCGAGUGGGUGAAGAAGGCCUCGGGGUUGUAAAGACCGUUUUUUGGGAAAGAAAAGCAUCAGGUUAAUACGCCGCUGUUGUGACGGUACCCAAAGAAGAAGCACCGGCUAACUACGUG
Molecule: ribosomal RNA, 488 nt
Filed under: uncultured bacterium
Lineage: Bacteria
Description: partial 16S ribosomal RNA
Rfam family: Bacterial small subunit ribosomal RNA
Source: RNAcentral